AAGGAGUCAUGUUUAUUAUGGAGGACAGUGGUAGAGAUGAAGGAGUCAUGUUUAUUAUGGAUGACAGUGGUAGAGAUGAAGGAGUCAUGUUUAUUAUGGAGGACAGUGGUAGAGAUGAAGGAGUCAUGUUUAUUAUGGAUGACAUGGGGGUAGAGAGGUAGAGAGAUGAAGGAGUCGUGUUUAUUAUGGAGGACAGAGGUAGAGAUGAAAGAGUCAUGUUUAUUAUGGAGGACAGUAGAGAGAUGAAGGAGUCGUGUUUAUUAUGGAGGACAGAGGUAGAGAUGAAAGAGUCAUGUUUAUUAUGGAGGACAGUGGUAGAGAUGAAGGAGUCAUGUUUAUUAUGGAUGACAUGGUGGUAGAGAGGUAGAGAGAUGAAGGAGUCAUGUUUAUUAUGGAGGACAGUGGUAGAGAUGAAGGAGUCAUGUUUAUUAUGGAGGACAGUGGUAGAGAUGAAGGAGUCAUGUUUAUUAUGGAGGACAGAGGUAGAGAUGAAGGAGUCAUGUUUAUUAUGGAGGACAGUGGUAGAGAUGAAGGAGUCAUGUUUAUUAUGGAGGACAGUGGUAGAGAUGAAGGAGUCAUGUUUAUUAUGUAGGACAGAGUUAGAGAUGAAGGAGUCAUGUUUAUUAUGGAGGACAGUGGUAGAGAUGAAGGAGUCAAGUUUAUUAUGGAUGACAUGGUGGUAGAGAGGUAGAGAUGAAGGAGUCAUGUUUAUUAUGGAGGACAGUGGUAGAGAUGAAGGAGUCAUGUUUAUUAUGGAGGACAGUGGUAGAGAUGAAGGAGUCAUGUUUAUUAUGUAGGACAGAGGUAGAGAUGAAGGAGUCAUGUUUAUUAUGGAGGACAGUGGUAGAGAUGAAGGAGUCAUGUUUAUUAUGGAGGACAGUGGUAGACAUGAAGGAGUCAUGUUUAUUAUGGAGGACAGUGGUAGAGAUGAAGGAGUCAUGUUUAUUAUGGAGGACAGUGGGAGAGAUGAAGGAGUCAUGUUUAUUAUGGAGGACAGUGGGAGAGAUGAAGGAGUCAUGUUUAUUAUGGAGGACAGUGGUUGAGAUGAAGGAGUCAUGUUUAUUAUGGAGGACAGUGGGAGAGAUGAAGGAGUCAUGUUUAUUAUGGAGGACAGUGGUAGAGAUGAAGGAGUCAUGUUUAUUAUGGAGGACAGUGGUAGAGAUGAAGGAGUCAUGUUUAUUAUGGAGGACAGUGGUAGAGAUGAAGGAGUCAUGUUUAUUAUGGAUGACAUAGUGGUAGAGAUGAAGGAGUCAUGUUUAUUAUGGAGGACAGUGGUAGAGAUGAAGGAGUCAUGUUUAUUAUGGAGGGCAGUGGUAGAGAUGAAGGAGUCAUGUUUAUUAUGGAGGACAGUGGGAGAGAUGAAGGAGUCAUGUUUAUUAUGGAGGACAUGGUGGUAGAGAGAUGAAGGAGUCAUGUUUAUUAUGGAUGACAUAGUGGUAGAGAUGAAGGAGUCAUGUUUAUUAUGGAGGACAGUGGUAGAGAUGAAGGAGUCAUGUUUUUUAUGGAGGACAGUGGUAGAGAUGAAGGAGUCAUGUUUAUUAUGGAGGACAGUGGGAGAGAUGGAGUAGUGUUUAUUAUGGAGGACAUGGUGGUAGAGAGGUAGAGAGAUGAAGGAGUCAUGUUUAUUAUGGAUGACAUAGUGGUAGAGAUGAAGGAGUCAUGUUUAUUAUGGAGGACAGUGGUAGAGAUGAAGGAGUCAUGUUUAUUAUGGAGGGCAGUGGUAGACAUGAAGGAGUCAUGUUUAUUAUGGAGGACAGUGGGAGAGAUUAAGGAGUCAUGUUUAUUAUGGAGGACAUGGUGGUAGAGAGGUAGAGAUGAAGGAGUCAUGUUUAUUAUGGAGGACAGAG
This 1847-nucleotide long non-coding RNA is filed under the name Salmo salar (Atlantic salmon). RNAcentral's name for it is "lncRNA (ENSSSAG00000119384.1)". The record is from RNAcentral. Lineage: Eukaryota; Metazoa; Chordata; Actinopteri; Salmoniformes; Salmonidae.